This 214-nucleotide long non-coding RNA is filed under the name Mytilus galloprovincialis (Mediterranean mussel). The record is from RNAcentral. Lineage: Eukaryota; Metazoa; Mollusca; Bivalvia; Mytilida; Mytilidae.
GUUUCUCGUUUCUCGUUUUGUUUAUAUAGAUUAGACCGUUGGUUUUCCCGUUUGAAUGGUUUUACACUUGUAAUUUUGGGGCCGGCCUUUAUAGCUUUGUUCGGUGUGAGCCAAGGCUCCGUGUUGAAGGCCGUACUUUAACCUAUAAUGGUUUACUUUUUAAAUUGUUAUUUGUAUGGAGAGUUGUCUCAUUGGCACUCACACCACAUCUUCC